This 555-nucleotide ribosomal RNA is filed under the name uncultured marine bacterium. Its description in RNAcentral is "bacterial SSU rRNA". It matches the Rfam family "Bacterial small subunit ribosomal RNA", at positions 49 to 649 of the family's 1533-position model. The record is from RNAcentral.
UUAUACUGCAAGUCGAGCGGCCUCUUUAGGGAGGCAGCGGCGAACGGGUUAGUAACGCGUGGGAACGUGCCCUUUAGUACGGAAUAGCCAUUGGAAACGAUGAUUAAUACCGUAUACGCCCUUAGGGGGAAAGAUUUAUCGCUAAAGGAUCGGCCCGCGUUAGAUUAGGUUGUUGGUGGGGUAAUGGCCUACCAAGCCUACGAUCUAUAGCUGGUUUGAGAGGAUGAUCAGCAACACUGGGACUGAGACACGGCCCAGACUUCUACGGAAGGCAGCAGUAGGGAAUCUUGGACAAUGGGCGAAAGCCUGAUCCAGCCAUGCCGCGUGAGUGAUGAAGGCCCUAGGGUUGUAAAACUCUUUCGCCAGGGAAGAUAAUGACGGUACCUGGUAAAGAAACCCCGGCUAACUCCGUGCCAGCAGCCGCGGUAAUACGGAGGGGGUUAGCGUUGUUCGGAAUUACUGGGCGUAAAGCGCACGUAGGCGGAUUAGUAAGUCAGAGGUGAAAUCCCGAGGCUCAACCUCGGAACUGCCUUUGAUACUGCUAGUCUAGAGUUC